RNAcentral lists this ribosomal RNA (497 nucleotides) under uncultured bacterium. RNAcentral's name for it is "partial 16S ribosomal RNA". It matches the Rfam family "Bacterial small subunit ribosomal RNA", at positions 28 to 507 of the family's 1533-position model. The record is from RNAcentral.
GAUGAACGCUGGCGGCGUGCCUAAUACAUGCAAGUCGAGCGAAAAGACGAGGAGCUUGCUCCUCUGACGUUAGCGGCGGACGGGUGAGUCACACGUGUAUAACCUACCUAUAAUACUGAGAUCACUUCGGGAAACCGGAUCUAAUACCGGAUAAUAUAUUGAACCGCAUGGGUCGAUGGUGAAAGACGGUUUUGCUGUCACUUAUCGCUGGAUCCGCGCCGCAUUAGAUAGUUGGUAAGGUAACGGGCUACCAAGGGAACGAUGCGUAGCCGACGUGAGAGGGUGAUCGGCCACACUGGAACGUAGACAGGGUCCAGACUCCUACGGGAGGCAGCAGUAGGGUAUCUUCCGCAAUGGGCGAAAGUCUGACGGAGCAACGCCGCGUGAGUGAUGAAGGUGUUCGGAGCGUAAAACUCUGUUAUUAGUGAAGAACAAAUGUGGAAGUAAAUAUGCACGGCUUGACGGUACCUAAUCAGAAAGCCACGGCUAACUACGUG